CCAGUGAACGAAGGCACGCUUGGCGUACAUGAGGUCAAACUUGUGGUCGAUGCGGGAGAACACCUCGACCACGCUGGUGGAGUUGGAGAUCAUGCACACGGCACGCUGCACCUUGGCCAGGUCACCGCCAGGCACCACGCUGGGGGGCUGGUAGUUGAUGCCGCACUUGAACCCAGUGGGGCACCAGUCCACGAACUGGAUGGUGCGCUUGGUCUUGAUGGUGGCAACAGCAGCGUUGACGUCCUUGGGCACCACAUCACCACGGUACAUGAGGCAGCAAGCCAUGUACUUGCCAUGGCGGGGGUCGCACUUGGCCAUCAUGGAGGACGGCUCAAAGGCGCUGUUGGUGAUCUCUGCAACAGACAGCUGCUCAUGGUAGGCCUUCUCGGCAGAGAUGACUGGUGCAUAGGAUGAAAGCAUGAAGUGGAUCCUCGGGUAGGGCACCAAGUUGGUCUGGAACUCGUUCACAUCCACGUUCAGAGCACCAUCGAACCUCAGGGAGGCAAUCAGAGAUGAGAUGACCUGCAUCACAACAAUGAUGACGAACAGAAGGUUAGACAAGCACAGAUUUCAGAACCAUUCACAAUGCAGAGGGACAACACUGAAUGUUGCGACAGUAAACCAAGGCAGUACCUGAGACACGAGCCUGUUGAGGUUGGUGUAGGUGGGGCGCUCAAUGUCAAGGGAGCGGCGGCAGAUGUCAUAGAUGGCCUCAUUGUCAAGCAGAACAGCAACAUCAGUGUGCUCGAGGAGGGAGUGGGUGGACAGGACACUGUUGUAUGGCUCAACCACUGAGGUGGAGACCUGGGGAGAUGGGUACACAGUGAACCCGAGCUUGGACUUCUUGCCAUAGUCAACAGACAGACGCUCAAGGAGGAGAGAACCAAGACCAGAGCCUGUUCCUCCACCAACAGCAUUGAAGACAAGGAAGCCCUGGAGACCAGUGCAGUUGUCGGCAAGCUUCCUGAUGCG
Molecule: long non-coding RNA, 972 nt
Filed under: Setaria viridis
Lineage: Eukaryota; Viridiplantae; Streptophyta; Magnoliopsida; Poales; Poaceae
Description: long non-coding RNA (SVIR_LNC010140)
Source: RNAcentral